Non-coding RNA from Pelobates cultripes (western spadefoot toad), 1152 nucleotides. Lineage: Eukaryota; Metazoa; Chordata; Amphibia; Anura; Pelobatidae. The record is from the annotation of a GenBank genome assembly.
CCUGGCCGUACCCACUGAGCCCUUACUGGUAUGAGCCCCCUCUGCCCCCAGGGGAGCUGUCAGCCCGUCUCCCACAUCCAACUGCCUGCCCCUUUGCCGCCCGGGUGUAACACCGGAGGCAGACUCACCGGGACGCCCUUGGGCUGUGUCAUCCCCUCCACUGGCCUCUGCACACAUGGCUGUCCUGGAGGCCGCCGCCGCUCCUGGCACCCUGCCGUUCGCCGUCCGCCGGGCGGCGCUCCGCGUGGUAGGCCGCAGAGCCGUCACCGGCCUAAUCGCCGUCCGUGCCCGACCGGCACCACGUCGAACAGACGGUGCCGGCGGCGUUUUUUCUGCCUCCUCCCGGCCGGCCCCCACAGCCAGGGACCCGCCCGCGUCCGCGGACGGGCUCAGACGCCGCCGUGCUGCAGGCAUCACGCCCGGACUCAGCCGCUGGGGCGGUCUCACCCUCCUCACCGACCGCCGUUCCGCUGCCGCAGGGGGUGCAUCACUGGUCCCAGGAACCCCCAGCUGCUGUUGAAGCCAGGCCAUCCCCCUGUCACGCACAGCCGCUCUCACUCCGUCCAGGAUCUCGUCCAGCGAAGCCAUCUGCAAAAUAAAGAACAAGAAACCACACAGACCUGCCAAAACAAUUAACAGGUAAGUGCAGAUUCUGGUUAAAAUGGCCACUUGCUAAAAUGGCCGCUUAAUAUACUCCCUCUAUUCUCCACCCCUUAUUACAAUCCAUUCCUAAAUUCCCACCCCUAAAAUUAUAACUCCACCUGCCUACUCCUUGGCUCUGUCAAGGCCCAUUCCCCUGACUGCGCUGAUCCAUGGGCUUCAAUCCAAUAAGAAGCGAUAAAAACCCCCACUAUACAUGAUGGUAAAGAGUAACUAACAUACAAUAAUCUUCAGUGUUAUAUGAGCCAUUUAUUCAGUUAGCAGAGAGGCAGACAGAUGUAUAUUAAAUCCCUGCAUCCAUCUCUGGUGGCAAUCUGUUUUAUUUGCCUGGGCCAGGGCACCCAGGAGCAUUUAGUGUACGGGAAGGAGCACUAUGGAAAAUAUGUUUAUACUGAUAAAUUUGCUAACCCUUUGACUUGCACAUCAUAAAUGAAUAUUGACAGCACUACCAAGCGGGAAUUACUCAUGUGAGCUUUGACAAGGUAAUUUAAC